AGGGUUUGAUUAUGGCUCAGGAUGAACGCUGGCGGCGUGCCUAAUACAUGCAAGUCGAACGGGAGCAGCAAUGCUCCAGUGGCGAACGGGUGAGUAAAACGUAGGUAACCUGCCCUUUGCAGGGGGAUAACCGGCGGAAACGGCGGUUAAUACCGCAUAGGUGGAGAGAUCGCAUGAACUUUCCAUUAAAGGUGGGGAACACCGGCAGAGGAUGGACCUACGGCGCAUUAGCUAGUUGGCGGGGCAGCGGCCCACCAAGGCGACGAUGCGUAGCCGGCCUGAGAGGGCGACCGGCCACACUGGGACUGAGACACGGCCCAG
This 321-nucleotide ribosomal RNA is filed under the name uncultured bacterium. RNAcentral's name for it is "bacterial SSU rRNA". It matches the Rfam family "Bacterial small subunit ribosomal RNA", at positions 8 to 334 of the family's 1533-position model. The record is from RNAcentral.